GAUUAGAUACCCUACUAUGCCAAGCCGUAAACAUCGACAUACCUUUGUCCGCCAGAAAAUUACAAGCCAAGCUUAAAACUCAAAGGACUUGGCGGCGCUCCACACACCCUAGAGGGGCCUGUCACAUAAUCGAUAACCCACGAUAAACCUCACCACUUUUAGCCCUCCAGCCUAUAUACCGCCGUCGCAAGUCCAUCCCGACAGGGAUAUGAAAUGGGCCAAAUAGUCUUUACACUAACACGACAGGUCAAGGUGUAGCUCAUAAAGUGGCAAAUGAUGGACCACAUUGCCCCCAAGCAAUACUUAAACUGCACUGAAACACGCACUUUAAAGGUGAAUUUAACAGUAAGGUAGGCAAGAAAGCCUGCCUAAAGCAUGCUCUGGAGCGUGCACACACCGCCCGUCACCCU
This 410-nucleotide ribosomal RNA is filed under the name Kinyongia fischeri (Fischer's chameleon). Its description in RNAcentral is "partial 12S ribosomal RNA". It matches the Rfam family "Bacterial small subunit ribosomal RNA", at positions 776 to 1403 of the family's 1533-position model. The record is from RNAcentral. Lineage: Eukaryota; Metazoa; Chordata; Lepidosauria; Squamata; Chamaeleonidae.